This 288-nucleotide long non-coding RNA is filed under the name Rattus norvegicus (Norway rat). RNAcentral's name for it is "long non-coding RNA NONRATT023569". The record is from RNAcentral. Lineage: Eukaryota; Metazoa; Chordata; Mammalia; Rodentia; Muridae.
ACUACUGUGUAACGAAAAAUACUCACUAAAGUGUUUUUCUUCAAAAUAUUUCAGAGAAGGAUAUACAAAACAACGACUCAUGUACCACCAGAGUUAGAACAGAUCAUGGAUUCGGACACAUUUGAGAAAUCACGACUGUAUCAACUGGAUAAAAGUACAUUCAGCUUCUGGUCAGGACUCUAUUCAGAGGUGGAAGGCACUUUUAUUCUUCUCUUUGGAGGAAUCCCUUACCUCUGGAGACUUUCUGGACGGUUCUGUAGUUCUGCUGGCUUCGGACCAGAAUAUGAG